RNAcentral lists this ribosomal RNA (497 nucleotides) under uncultured bacterium. Its description in RNAcentral is "partial 16S ribosomal RNA". It matches the Rfam family "Bacterial small subunit ribosomal RNA", at positions 28 to 507 of the family's 1533-position model. The record is from RNAcentral.
GAUGAACGCUGGCGGCGUGCCUAAUACAUGCAAGUCGAGCGAACAGACGAGGAGCUUGCUCCUCUGACGUUAGCGGCGGACGGGUGAGUAACACGUGGAUAACCUACCUAUAAGACUGAGAUAACUUCGGGAAACCGGAGCUAAUACCGGAUAAUAUAUUGAACCGCAUGGUUCAAUAGUGAAAGACGGUUUUGCUGUCACUUAUAGAUGGAUCCGCGCCGCAUUAGCUAGUUGGUAAGGUAACGGCUUACCAAGGCAACGAUGCGUAGCCGACCUGAGAGGGUGAUCGGCCACACUGGAACUGAGACACGGUCCAGACUCCUACGGGAGGCAGCAGUAGGGAAUCUUCCGCAAUGGGCGAAAGCCUGACGGAGCAACGCCGCGUGAGUGAUGAAGGUCUUCGGAUCGUAAAACUCUGUUAUUAGGGAAGAACAAAUGUGUAAGUAACUAUGCACGUCUUGACGGUACCUAAUCAGAAAGCCGCGGCUAACUACGUG